ACGGAAGGCAGCAGUGGGGAAUAUUGGGCAAUGGGCGCAAGCCUGACCCAGCAACGCCGCGUGAAGGAAGAAGGUCUUCGGAUUGUAAACUUUUGUCUUAUGGGACGAUGAUGACGGUACCAUAGGAGGAAGCCACGACUAACUACGUGCCAGCAGUCGCGGUAAUACGUAGGUGGCAAGCGUUAUCCGGAAUUAUUGGGUGUAAAGGGUGCGUAGGCGGGAUGUAAAGUCAGAUGUGAAAUGCCGCGGCUUAACUGCGGAGCUGCAUUUGAAACUUACGUUCUUGAGUGAAGUAGAGGUAAGCGGAAUUCCUAGUGUAGCGGUGAAAUGCGUAGAUAUUAGGAGGAACACCGGUGGCGAAGGCGGCUUACUGGGCUUAUACUGACGCUGAGGCACGAAAGUGUGGGGAGCAAACAGGAUUAGAUACCCUGGUA
Molecule: ribosomal RNA, 434 nt
Filed under: uncultured Oscillospiraceae bacterium
Lineage: Bacteria; Bacillati; Bacillota; Clostridia; Eubacteriales; Oscillospiraceae
Description: bacterial SSU rRNA
Rfam family: Bacterial small subunit ribosomal RNA
Source: RNAcentral